This 69-nucleotide transfer RNA is filed under the name Marmota marmota marmota (Alpine marmot). It matches the Rfam family "tRNA". From Rfam's summary of the family: Transfer RNA (tRNA) molecules are approximately 80 nucleotides in length. Their secondary structure includes four short double-helical elements and three loops (D, anti-codon, and T loops). RNAcentral also lists the same sequence under 1 other name. The record is from Rfam by way of RNAcentral. Lineage: Eukaryota; Metazoa; Chordata; Mammalia; Rodentia; Sciuridae.
GGAGUUGUGGCUCAGUGGUAGAGCACUUACCUAGCAUGUGUGAGGCACUGGGUUUGAUUCGCAGCACCA